GAUUAAAGUAAACUCAUAAACCAUAAGAACAAUAAAACAAGAACUUACUAGAAUUUAGAAGUCGAAUUACUGAAGAAUCCUAGGAGCAAGCUUCGGGUUAGGAGAACUUGAUCCCGCAGGUACAAGCUUGGAGUAGACACCGACAGGCCGGGCUUCCUCCACUCUACACCUCCACUCUAUUUCUCUCAAUCUAGUAGAAACUAGAAGAUCUAUUUCUACCUUACAUUGAUUGCUAAGCCUAAAAAGAAAUAUUAAUUAGAGAAGAGGUUUUCCUUCGAGGGCACCCCUCAGUCUCUAUGAUAAUUUCUUCAUGUCUUCCAGGGGCCAGGGGGCCUCGCUUAUAUAGUCCUCCCCUUCUAUGCGUUUUUGGGUCGAUAGCCGAGGUGGUACUAUGUUUUUC
Molecule: long non-coding RNA, 400 nt
Filed under: Sorghum bicolor (sorghum)
Lineage: Eukaryota; Viridiplantae; Streptophyta; Magnoliopsida; Poales; Poaceae
Description: long non-coding RNA (SBIC_LNC017854)
Source: RNAcentral